Molecule: ribosomal RNA, 109 nt
Filed under: Sinocyclocheilus grahami
Lineage: Eukaryota; Metazoa; Chordata; Actinopteri; Cypriniformes; Cyprinidae
Source: RNAcentral
AUUAAUAAUAAUAAAAAAAAAAGCACGCCCGAUCUCGGAAGCUAAGCAGGGUCGGUCCUGGUAAAUACUUGGAUGGGAGACCGCCUGGGAAUACCAGGUGCUGUAAGCU